Molecule: ribosomal RNA, 497 nt
Filed under: uncultured bacterium
Lineage: Bacteria
Description: partial 16S ribosomal RNA
Rfam family: Bacterial small subunit ribosomal RNA
Source: RNAcentral
GAUGAACGCUGGCGGCGUGCCUAAUACAUGCAAGUCGAGCGAACGGACGAGAAGCUUGCUUCUCUGAUGUUAGCGGCGGACGGGUGAGUAACACGUGGAUAACCUACCUAUAAGACUGGGAUAACUUCGGGAAACCGGAGCUAAUACCGGAUGAUAUUUUGAACCGCAUGGUUCAAAAGUGAAAGACGGUCUUUCUGUCACUUAUAGAUGUAUCCGCGCUGCAUUAGCUAGUUGGUAAGGUAACGGCUUACCAAGGCAACGAUGCAUAGCCGACCGGAGAGGGGGAUCGGCCACACUGGAACUGAGACACGGUCCAGACUCCUACGGGAGGCAGCAGUAGGGAAUCUGCCGCAAUGGGCGAAAGCAUGACGGAGCAGCGCCGCGUGAGUGAUGAAGGUCUUCGGAUCGUAAAACUCUGUUAUUAGGGAAGAACAUAUGUGUAAGUAACAGUGCACAUCUUGACGGUACCUAAUCAGAAAGCCCCGGCUAACUACGUG